Chloebia gouldiae (Gouldian finch) is the source of this 1211-nucleotide long non-coding RNA. NCBI's taxonomy places the organism in Eukaryota, Metazoa, Chordata, Aves, Passeriformes, Passeridae. The record is from Ensembl.
AAUUCCCUCCCACCCCACUGAUCCCACUGAUAUGGGGGAUUCCCAUCCCUGAACCGCUGCUUCCUGAAGUUCUCUUGGUGCUUAUCCGCAUUCCCAUCCCCCAGGGAUGUCCUCCAGAACCUGAACUUGGACUCGUGGCGAGGAAGCUGCCAGAGGGGCGACAUCAAGGAAGACGACUUCCGCAACAUCUCGGUGAUGCCCUUCUCCCGCUACUACCUCAACUGCUCCAUCGAGUCCCACUACGCCACCUACAACUGGUACCACGAGGACGUGCUCAUCAAGAGCUGCAACACCUCCCACCCGCAGCACGACUGCUUCCACUUCAUCCCCAGCGUCCGGCGCGAGCACUACGGCCACUACGUCUGCGUGUCCGAGGAGGACGGCUUCCGCCAGGCGCUGGUCAAGGAGCGCCUGCUGGACCGCCAGCGCUUCUUGUCGCAGCGCGGCCGCGCUCCGGCCACGCUGGCCUCGUGGCUCCAGCUGCUGCUGGUGCUGGCCCUGGCCGAGCUCUUCCACUGACGCCGUCCCGCUGGCCCUGCCGCCGCCGCGGCUCCCUCGGACUCUUGGUGCUCCCCACCGCCCGCCUCGCUGGAAGAGCCGCGGCAGGAGGGUGUGACACGCGGCGGCCUCGGCGGCGGCGGCUCCGCUGGCCAGCCAUGCAUGCGCUGAUGCUCAGGGCAUGGCCGCUCCUUGCAUGUGAUGAAGAUGAGGAGGAGGAGGAGGAACCGGCCCUCGGCCUCCAGACUGCGGGAUGCCCGCGGGGACCGCUGCCUCCCGAGCUUUCGCGGGGUGAUGUUGGGGUCGGCAGCGGCUGGGACAGCCCCGGCGAGUCCCCUCCUGCUCCGUGGGGGCUCGGAGGCUGCAGGGGGGGCUCGGUUCGUUGUUUUUUGUUCGCAGCCGGCUUUGGUGUGGGAGGGAGGUCGGGAAUCGGCGCCACCGCGUUGGGAAUUUGCAUGGAAAAGCCUCGGAAGGUGGCUGGAUUUGGGGUGUGGGGAAAGGGAAGGUGGGAGCAGAGCCCGGAGCGGAGCGGGAGGCGCUGGGGGAGACGCUGGAGACGCACAAAUCCUCUGCGGGCAGCUGAGGGGCAUCGCAGCGGGGCCGUGCCCGCUCCCACCCUGUCCCGGGCGUCCUCAGGGAAAGCGGCCGCGGAUCUCAGGGCACCGGGGGGGCUGCGCCUGCCCCCGGCUCUGUCCCUGUCCCCCGGGCCGGGC